UGGGGAAUAUUGGACAAUGGGGGGAACCCUGAUCCAGCCAUGCCGCGUGUGUGAAGAAGGCCUUAUGGUUGUAAAGCACUUUAAGCGAGGAGGAGGCUCUUCUAGUUAAUACCUAGGAUGAGUGGACGUUACUCGCAGAAUAAGCACCGGCUAACUCUGUGCCAGCAGCCGCGGUCAUACAGAGGGUGCGAGCGUUAAUCGGAUUUACUGGGCGUAAAGCGUGCGUAGGCGGCUAAUUGAGUCGCAUGUGAAAUCCCCGAGCUUAACUGGGGAAUUGCAUUCGAUACUGGUUAGCUAGAGUGUGGGAGAGGAUGGUAGAAUUCCAGGUGUAGCGGUGAAAUGCGUAGAGAUCUGGAGGAAUACCGAUGGCGAAGGCAGCCAUCUGGCCUAACACUGACGCUGAGGUGCGAAAGAAUGGGGAGCAAACAGG
Molecule: ribosomal RNA, 430 nt
Filed under: Pseudomonadota bacterium
Lineage: Bacteria; Pseudomonadati; Pseudomonadota
Description: Proteobacteria bacterium partial 16S ribosomal RNA
Rfam family: Bacterial small subunit ribosomal RNA
Source: RNAcentral